This 456-nucleotide ribosomal RNA is filed under the name uncultured Cellulomonas sp. RNAcentral's name for it is "bacterial SSU rRNA". It matches the Rfam family "Bacterial small subunit ribosomal RNA", at positions 923 to 1382 of the family's 1533-position model. Lineage: Bacteria; Bacillati; Actinomycetota; Actinomycetes; Micrococcales; Cellulomonadaceae. The record is from RNAcentral.
GCACAAGCGGCGGAGCAUGCGGAUUAAUCGAUGCAACGCGAAGACCUUACCAAGGCUUGACAUACACCGGUAACGCCCAGAGAUGGGUGCCCCUUUGUGGUCGGUGGACAGGUGGUGCAUGGUUGUCGUCAGCUCGUGUCGUGAGAUGUUGGGUUAAGUCCCGCAACGAGCGCAACCCUCGUCCUGUGUUGCCAGCGGGUCAUGCCGGGGACUCAUGGGAGACUGCCGGGGUCAACUCGGAGGAAGGUGGGAUGACGUCAAAUCAUCAUGCCCCUUAUGUCUUGGGCUUCACGCAUGCUACAAUGGCCGGUACAAAGGGCUGCGAUACCGCGAGGUGGAGCGAAUCCCAGAAAGCCGGUCUCAGUUCGGAUUGGGGUCUGCAACUCGACCCCAUGAAGUCGGAGUCGCUAGUAAUCGCAGAUCAGCAACGCUGCGGUGAAUACGUUCCCGGGCCUU